RNAcentral lists this unclassified non-coding RNA (739 nucleotides) under Yarrowia lipolytica. The record is from RNAcentral. Lineage: Eukaryota; Fungi; Ascomycota; Dipodascomycetes; Dipodascales.
CUUAGCUAGAGUUUUCUCGAGCUGCCAAGUUGCAUCAGUGCACCUCCCUUCAUGAAUCUAUGGGACAGAGCUAUGACUUGCAAAUACUUACGCGCUCCGUUUCUCAGAUGGGUCGCAACGAGGGGUGAAACAACCAGCAUGAGCUACAGUUUGGGGUCUGCUUUACUAAAUGGUCCUGUCGCAGGGUCAUAUUCCAGAAGCUGCCGAAUGGGGGCUUAAAAGCACCUGCUAUGACACAACUGUUGAGACCGAAAAAAACCCCUGCGAUGUGGAGCCUUUCUGGGGGUGAAGAAACAGGCAUAAGUGAGUAGCUAAGACGUGGAGGGAGUGCAAGCAAAGCCACCGAGUGAAAAGAAACCCCUCAGUACAAGCAUUAGGACGCAGGAUGUUGACGAGAAAAGCUUAGCUCGCCUUCUGAAGGUCUGUCUCCUUGAAACAGCUAUUACGGGCACAAAACAUUGUCCAUGAGUUUGCAAUGAUGGACAAUAGACGCCCAGAGCUCUACACUAGAUGGCUGCAGCAGUCGAAGAGACUUCGAUAUGUUAAGCUACGCCAGCACCAAUGGGACUGUGAAAUGAUGACACGAAAGCAAAGAUGAGACUGUGAACUGCGAGAGCAGAAUGGCAGCACGUCUCGGGCCAGAGCAGUCAGUAAGAGUUAGAAUUAGGGCCAGAGCCAUUGAGCCAGUGAGUGCCAUUGAGCCAGUAAAAGCUAGUGCGAUUGUAAUACAGUACAAGUA